CGCAUCUGUGCAUGCAGCAUAUCAAUAAGCGGAGGAAAAGAAACUAACAAGGAUUCCCCUAGUAACGGCGAGUGAAGCGGGAAGAGCUCAAAUUUGAAAUCUUAAAGGGUUUCCCUUUACGAAUUGUAGUUUAAAGAAGUGUUUUCUGUUGAGGUUUUGGUAAAAGUUCUUUGGAAUAGGACAUCAUAGAGGGUGAGAAUCCCGUAUUUGACCUUUACUUUCAACUUUGUGAUACACUUUCAAAGAGUCGGAUUGUUUGGGAAUGCAGUCCAAAAUGGGUGGUAAAUUUCAUCUAAAGCUAAAUAUUGGCGAGAGACCGAUAGCGAACAAGUACCGUGAGGGAAAGAUGAAAAGAACUUUGAAAGAGAGUUAAACAGUACGUGAAAUUGUCAAAAGGGAAGCGUUUGACACCAGUGUUGUUUUUCUGAAAAUCAAUUAAAGAACUGUUUAUGCUAAGUUGUUUAGACUUUAUCAGCUAACUGUUUAGUUUUGAGCUUUUCUUUAAUGCACUUUUCAGUUAACAAGUCAACAUCAAUUUCUUUUGCUGUAAAAAAGCUUGAGGAAGGUGGCUUGAGAUUCGUCUUAAGUGUUUAUAGCCUCUUGCCUAUGCAGUCGGAGAGAUUGAGGUCUGCAGCGUAGAUCCUUCGGGGCUAAAUGCAUUUGUGCUAAGUUAUAGCAUUUUAUAGACAACUUGUUGACUAUGAUUUGUCUUGUAGCUUACUCGCUUAUGUUAUUUUACCUACGCUUAGGAUGUUGAACGCGCACAGAGUCUC
RNAcentral lists this ribosomal RNA (773 nucleotides) under uncultured Neocallimastigales. RNAcentral describes it as "partial large subunit ribosomal RNA". It matches the Rfam family "Eukaryotic large subunit ribosomal RNA", at positions 26 to 611 of the family's 3401-position model. Lineage: Eukaryota; Fungi; Neocallimastigomycota; Neocallimastigomycetes; Neocallimastigales. The record is from RNAcentral.